This 74-nucleotide transfer RNA is filed under the name Pedosphaera sp. RNAcentral's name for it is "tRNA-Gln". It matches the Rfam family "tRNA". Rfam says of the family: Transfer RNA (tRNA) molecules are approximately 80 nucleotides in length. Their secondary structure includes four short double-helical elements and three loops (D, anti-codon, and T loops). Lineage: Bacteria; Pseudomonadati; Verrucomicrobiota; Pedosphaerae; Pedosphaerales; Pedosphaeraceae. The record is from RNAcentral.
UGGCCGUUGGUGUAAUGGUAGCACAGGGGUCUUUGGAGCCCUUAGACAUGGUUCGAGUCCAUGACGGCCAGCCA